GUUCUUGUAGUUGAACUACAACGGUGGUUUUUCGAGUCAUUGGUCUCGGUUGGAGUCCGAGCAAGAAUU
This 69-nucleotide transfer RNA is filed under the name Abbottina rivularis (Chinese false gudgeon). RNAcentral's name for it is "tRNA-Glu". It matches the Rfam family "tRNA". From Rfam's summary of the family: Transfer RNA (tRNA) molecules are approximately 80 nucleotides in length. Their secondary structure includes four short double-helical elements and three loops (D, anti-codon, and T loops). RNAcentral also lists the same sequence under 1 other name. Lineage: Eukaryota; Metazoa; Chordata; Actinopteri; Cypriniformes; Gobionidae. The record is from RNAcentral.